AUCCUCCAAGGCUAAAUACUCCUGAUUGACCGAUAGUGAACCAGUACUGUGAAGGAAAGGCGAAAAGAACCCCGGUGAGGGGAGUGAAAUAGAACCUGAAACCUUGUACGUACAAGCAGUGGGAGCCCCAUCACUUAAUCCGAUUGGAAGGUGAUGAAAAGCAACCGCACUUAAACAAUGGUAAGAGGAGCGAAGCGAGUCAAACCACCCAAAAAAAGAAGCAGUGGGAUUAAGUGAUGGGGUGACUGCGUACCUUUUGUAUAAUGGGUCAGCGACUUAUAUUUUGUAGCGAGGUUAACCGAAUAGGGGAGCCGAAGGGAAACCGAGUCUUAACUGGGCGAAUAGUUGCAAGGUAUAGACCCGAAACCCGGUGAUCUAGCCAUGGGCAGGUUGAAGGUUGGGUAACACUAACUGGAGGACCGAACCGACUAAUGUUGAAAAAUUAGCGGAUGACUUGUGGCUGGGGGUGA
RNAcentral lists this ribosomal RNA (470 nucleotides) under Haemophilus influenzae. Its description in RNAcentral is "bacterial LSU rRNA". It matches the Rfam family "Bacterial large subunit ribosomal RNA", at positions 455 to 824 of the family's 2925-position model. The record is from RNAcentral. Lineage: Bacteria; Pseudomonadati; Pseudomonadota; Gammaproteobacteria; Pasteurellales; Pasteurellaceae.